RNAcentral lists this ribosomal RNA (249 nucleotides) under uncultured beta proteobacterium. RNAcentral describes it as "partial 16S ribosomal RNA". It matches the Rfam family "Bacterial small subunit ribosomal RNA", at positions 355 to 596 of the family's 1533-position model. The record is from RNAcentral. Lineage: Bacteria; Pseudomonadati; Pseudomonadota; Betaproteobacteria.
UGGGGAAUUUUGGACAAUGGGCGCAAGCCUGAUCCAGCCAUGCCGCGUGUGUGAAGAAGGCCUUCGGGUUGUAAAGCACUUUCGGGCGGAACGAAAUCGCGCGGGCGAAUACCCCGCGUGGAUGACGGUACCGCAAGAAGAAGCACCGGCUACCUACGUGCCAGCAGCCGCGGUAAUACGAAGGGUGCGAGCGUUAAUCGGAAUUACUGGGCGUAAAGCGUGCGCAGGUGGCGUCGCAAGUCCGGCGUG